GCCGAGCGCGGGAGGAGCCGGCCCGGCCCGGCGCGGGCACCCGCGGCAUCGCCGCUGCGAGGGGCUUGGUUGUGCUAGGACAGGCGAGGCUGGGCCAGAAGACUUAUGCAGACAGCUGCUCAGCUUUUCUGAAAAAGAAGGGCAGAGCUUGAUGCUGGAAAGGAGAGCUCCUGAAAUGCAGAACCAAGCUAGUUCCCUGAGAAAUACUCCCAUUAAUUUCAGUGAGGAGCAAAGUUUGAGGACGCUGCUGAAGAGCCCAGACCUGCACACAGCUGCAUUUCAGCAGCUGAAGUGCCAGCACUAUCCUGGCUUUAUAUUGAGGUUGUAGAAAUGUUCUGGAACACGUGAUGUGUACACCAUGACUGGAAGGCUGGCUGCUUUGUGGUUCUGGCAAAAAACUGGGCUGACUGCUGUAAAAACAGUGCACUGACACCUUCAAGGGUACACAUAGAGGUGUUGCAUCUUGUCUCCAUCUCCUCUCAUUUUCUCUGCUCCUCUUUGACUCUUUCUUCUGCCUACUCCCAAGCCACUGUCAUUUUCAUUUCCUUCCCUGCUGCCUUGGACAUUUGAUCUAGACUCACAAAUGUGUCAGAGUUCUUCUCCUUACACUUUUCAAAGCCUGUUUUUCCACCUUUGUUCUGUAGACACAAAUCUGAAACCAGUGUAACUUCCUGUUGCUGGAGCAUCAAAGGUAUACAAAUUCAAGAUACAGUAAAAAAAAAUACUGUUCAGACUUGUUUCUUGUUUACUUUGAAUGAAAAUAAGAACAUUCAUAUCAUGAAGCUUGACUGAGUGGAACCAGGGUAAGAAUGCCCUAACCAUCAUGACAGUGGUGAUGAAACUGGAAGAUUUUUUACUGGAAGUCAGUGUUUAUUAAGGAGAGCACUAAAUUACUCAGCACAGGUAUUGUUAGAGCAGUCCUGACCAAUAACAUAUUUUUAGUACCAGUGACUCUUGUUGAACUCAUCUCUGUAAUUGUUUUUGAUGAUAGAAUGAAUCAGAGUGCCUUAAAAACAUGGCAAUAAAAUAAAGCCCUAAUUAUGGACCAAGGAACCAUUAAGUCUAAAUCCUAAAAAUUGGCAUUCAGUAUACAAGAUUAAGGAAGCAAAAACCAUGUUAGUUUGGUUACAAAUAUUUACAAAGUAAGGAAAACCAGAUCCUUCAAAUACCUUAAGUAGUUUUGAUUUAAAACGUGCUUAAGACUAGAAAUAUGUCAUCGUGCACUCAGCCAGAAAUGCAUUUUAAUAAAUGAGUCAGGGUUACAAGAAGGAUGAAAGAACUUUUCUUACUGAAUGCAUCCCUGUUGUGGGGCCCAGUCAUGUAGUGUGCUUGGAAGGAGCAACAUGCUGAACGUGAACUGCCAAGGGUUGGUUAAUAAGACAUUUAACCUAUUAUUUUUUCAUGGGACAAAGAGACUUUAGUUCUGUAAGGCAUUUGUAAAAUGGGUUUUCAAAAUGAACCAGGCAAUCCCAGUCUGAUACCCAGCAGACACCCAUUUGG
Melospiza georgiana is the source of this 1500-nucleotide long non-coding RNA. RefSeq lists it as uncharacterized. The transcript has 4 exons. The record is from RefSeq and is a predicted model, not a curated record. Lineage: Eukaryota; Metazoa; Chordata; Aves; Passeriformes; Passerellidae.